GCCGCCUUAGCUCAGUCGGUCAGAGCGACGCACUCGUAAUGCGUAGGUCCGGGGUUCGAUUCCCCGAGGCGGCU
This 74-nucleotide transfer RNA is filed under the name Actinobacteria bacterium 13_1_20CM_3_71_11. RNAcentral describes it as "tRNA-Thr". It matches the Rfam family "tRNA". From Rfam's summary of the family: Transfer RNA (tRNA) molecules are approximately 80 nucleotides in length. Their secondary structure includes four short double-helical elements and three loops (D, anti-codon, and T loops). Lineage: Bacteria; Bacillati; Actinomycetota. RNAcentral also lists the same sequence under 4 other names. The record is from RNAcentral.